Molecule: transfer RNA, 80 nt
Filed under: Brevundimonas diminuta
Lineage: Bacteria; Pseudomonadati; Pseudomonadota; Alphaproteobacteria; Caulobacterales; Caulobacteraceae
Description: tRNA-???(tctg)
Source: RNAcentral
UGUCCCGCUGGUUCAUCGGCCAUGAGAGCGCCCACUUCUGGCUGGGCCAGACGGUGCGGUACGAGUUCGCGCGCGACGCC